RNAcentral lists this ribosomal RNA (254 nucleotides) under uncultured bacterium. Its description in RNAcentral is "partial 16S ribosomal RNA". It matches the Rfam family "Bacterial small subunit ribosomal RNA", at positions 524 to 776 of the family's 1533-position model. The record is from RNAcentral.
UACGGAGGGUGCAAGCGUUAUCCGGAUUCACUGGGUUUAAAGGGUGCGUAGGUGGGCAGGUAAGUCAGUGGUGAAAUCUCCGGGCUUAACCCGGAAACUGCCAUUGAUACUAUCAGUCUUGAAUACCGUGGAGGUAAGCGGAAUAUGUCAUGUAGCGGUGAAAUGCUUAGAUAUGACAUAGAACACCAAUUGCGAAGGCAGCUUACUACACGUACUAUUGACACUGAGGCACGAAAGCGUGGGGAUCAAACAGG